This is a long non-coding RNA of Sinocyclocheilus rhinocerous, 91 nucleotides long. RefSeq lists it as uncharacterized. The transcript has 3 exons. NCBI's taxonomy places the organism in Eukaryota, Metazoa, Chordata, Actinopteri, Cypriniformes, Cyprinidae. The record is from RefSeq and is a predicted model, not a curated record.
CACAUGUUCUUGACUUUGGAGUAAACGUUUAUUUUGAAUCUUGUGAUUAAAGUAUAUUUCAUAUAAAAUGUCCAUAAUAAUUACAUUGAAG